RNAcentral lists this small nuclear RNA (103 nucleotides) under Phaseolus vulgaris (common bean). Lineage: Eukaryota; Viridiplantae; Streptophyta; Magnoliopsida; Fabales; Fabaceae. The record is from RNAcentral.
GUUGCUUUUCGGGAACAUCCAAUAAAUUGGAUCUAUACAGAGAAGAUUAGCAUGGCCUUGCGCAAGGAUGACACGCACAAAUCGUGGUCCAAAUUUUCUUUUA